Molecule: long non-coding RNA, 43710 nt
Filed under: Ananas comosus (pineapple)
Lineage: Eukaryota; Viridiplantae; Streptophyta; Magnoliopsida; Poales; Bromeliaceae
Description: long non-coding RNA (ACOM_LNC017166)
Source: RNAcentral
UCCUUUCCUAGUAACCAAAAAAAAAAAGAAGAAGAAAAAUUGGCAUUUAAUUGCUUGGAAAAAUAACAAUCAUAAAAAGGGAGCUACAUUAUUAUUGCUCUCAUAAUUAAUACAAGAACAAUUGCUACAUUAAUUAAUACCUCUUAUGAAGAAUUACUCUUUACUAAGUACUGAACCAAAAAAGAAAAAAAAAUUAAAAGAGAACCAAACUUAAGACACCUAUAAUAUUCAGAACCACGACUGAGAUCGUCAACAUAAAAUUAUCAUAUUGCCCUUGAAGAGUGUUGGGAGCGGAGGAUGGGGGAGUUUGGUAGUACCAGGGGUACCAGGGCAAUAUCGGGUUGGGCGGCGGCGGCGCGGGGAAUGCGUAGAUGGAGAGGAGGAGGAGAAGGGUGGUGGAGGUGGUCAUGGUGAGGAGAGAGAGAGAGAGAGAGAGAGAGAGAGAGAGAGGGUUUAAUGGAGAGAGGAGGGGGUGGUAGUGCAAUGCAUGAGAGAGAGAGAGAGAGAGAGAGAGAGAGAGAGAGAGGUUUAAUGAAGGGAGGGGGUGCUGGUGCAAUACAUAACAGAGGGGGGAGGAGAGAGAGAGAGAGAGAGAGAGAGAGACGGUCUCAUCCACCGUCCAUCAUAUGGUCUGGACGACUCUCAAAGCAUGAUGGACGAUGAAUGAGUGUCCGCAUAAAAUUUUUGUCGGUGUAAUUGGAGGGGUUGGAGCGUUUUGUUUUUUUUUUUUUUGUUUUUUUGUUAUUUUUUUUUGUGGGGUUAUAAUGCUAUGGAGAGGAAUAACUUGUCUUGACUUUAUUUUGUUUUUAUUUUUCGAUUUUUUAUUUCUUUAUGUGAUUUUUACUUAUAUACCCAUAAUGAUACAUGUAUUUGUGUUUAUAUCCCUUGAAAACCAAAAAAAUUUGCAUAUAUACGCUUAGAAUUAGUCUAUUUUUAUCCAACCUUUUAUUUAUUUAUUUUCUAAAACUGUACUUAGAAUCGGUAUAUAGAGGUAAAAAUAUGUCAAAAAUUUAUUUUCAGAAUUAUAGAAAUAUAUGUCAAAGGGGUAUAUAUACGUGUAAAAAUUUGCAUAACUAAUUAAUAGAUAUUUACAUAAAUAAGAGUGGUAAAUAUUUAAAAAAAGCUUUUUUUUUCUUUACUUUCAAAAUUCGAAGAAUAUUAGACUAACAUAGCAUAACAAUAAUCAGAUAUGAGCCAUGAGAUAACGCUUAAAUUUAUUUUCAAAUUAACUAAAAAUUAAGACGCGUCCUACUAAUAUUUUUUUUUUCAAAAGGGACCCUAGUUAAUAAUAAUGGUGUUACUUGUUAAGUAGUGGUGGGGCCUAAUUUGGUGUGUUCAAAACAGAAUAUUAAAAAAAAAGGUGUGGAAAUUUUUAAAGUAGGGUCCAUAUUUUAGGUUAAAGUUUGGGUGUACGUGGGAUAAUAUUAAUAGUUGCAUGGUUAAGUUAAUCAAAUGUAACGGCUACAUUAAUUGGAGGUGGAGUGUCAAAAGAGAAUUAAUGGUCAUUGAUGAUUGAAUUGUAGAGGGGGUGUCAAAAGAGAUUGGAUAUGUGUGUAAAUUAAUAAAAAGUUAGGGGGGAAAUUAAUAAAAAGUUAAGAAGGGAUGAGGCUUCCCCGUUAAUUUAGGUUGCUUAUAAAGGUUGGAGACUCAAAAAUAGUCUAAGGCAUUAAGUACACUUUUUACACCACUUUUUUUUUAAUGCUUUCACACUAGGAAAAUUAAUUUUAUACAAAUUUCUACUUCUUUAGAAUAAUUUUACAUAAACUUUUUGUUGGCUCGAUAUUUUUUUUUCCCGCUAAAAAAUAGGUCUAUCGACAUACUCAAAUUUGAAAUACGUGUUUUUAUAUAUAGUAUAGAUAUAUAAUAUUUAUAAAUAUAAUAUAUUUUAAUUUUAUAUAAGAUUUAAUUUAAUUUGGGCCAUUAUUGUUGGCCCAUAAAAUAAACCCAACAAGUACAACCGUGCAAUUGAGCCCAACUCUAAAUUUACAUAACACACUAUCUCUUUCAGACUUUUACUAUUACACAUAAUCCUAAAACAUGAUAACAUUCAAAUUUUCAAAUCUCUAAUUUUUUUCCCCUCUCUUUCUCUCUCUCUCUCUCUCUCUCUCUCUCUCUCUCUUUCUCUCCCUCAGACCCUCACCCAGUCAGGCAGUCACCCUAGCUCACAUUUCUUGCAAUUAUUUUGUAUUUGGAACUAUUGGACGUAUUGCAUCAAAUUGUAGAUAAUAUUAUAUAAAAAUUAAACUAUUGAUUAUAUAAUGUCGAGAAUUUCAAUCGGCUCGUUUAGAGCUCGAGCUCGGCUCGACUCGAAAUUAGGCUCGCUUGAGCUCGGCUCGAAUUAAUUUCAAGCCGAGCUUGAGCCUAGAUUUAGGCUCGAAAUUAAUUUCAAGCCGAAUUUGAGCUGAUAUAAGCUCGCUCGAGCUCGGCUCGUUUCCACCCCUAAUUGCACUUCUAGUCCCUAAAGUUUGAAUGAAAGUUUUAUUUUGGUAUUCAAACUUCUGAUUUCGGUAUUCGAAAUCCUGAACUUUGAGUAGUAUAUGUCACUUUAGUCCCUAAACUUUUAAAAGGCAUUUCAUUUUCGGUCCUUAACUCUGAUUAAUAAUUAUUGCUUAUACCUAAUUUAUCUAUUUUCUCACUGAAAAUAAAUUUACUGUUUUUUCAUCCAUCUUUUACUUUUUAAUUCAGUAAUCUAAUUUUUUAUAUUAAGAAAAGUGAAGCUCAAUAGGUAGUAGGAUUGAAAUAUGCGCGAAAAAAAUAGCCAAUAAAUGCAUGAUGAAUAGAUGAAUAGAUGCACUUGGUGCAGCCAAUAAUUUAUCCUUAUUAUUGGCUGAAAUUAAAACUUUUUUUUCGUUGUAGACUUUCCUUUUUUAUUUUUAUUUUUUUUUACUGUUUUAAGAGUUGAAGGGACCACUGAUGCCAAAUUUAAAAAUUUGAGGACCAAAAUGAAACUUGGCUAAAAGUUUGGGACUAGUGAUGCAAUUUAUCUUUAUCAAUUUUGAACAGGAAAGCAAAAAGAGCGAAUCUGGGAGCGGGAGGGGUCCGACCUCUGACUCUGUUUUUUGUUUGGCCGGGUCAGAUUUACGGCGGGCGGGCUAAUUUUAAUUCUAUUUUUGGCCCUCUCUUACCACUCCAUUCAAGAAGACGAGAAUAACUGUUUGGCGAAUUUUUAGCUGAUCGGAAUGAAUUAAAUGAAGAAAGGGUCUAACGGGGGAGAGAUUCAAAACGAGUUAUAUUUUUUUUAUAAUUUUAGUUUUUACUUACAAUCUCAUUUGGAACGGAUCCGAACGGAAGCUCCACUAAUCUGAAUCCAUUUGCAUCCCUAAUUUUAACUAUUGUCUUUUCCUACAAUUUUAGCCUUCCACCUUGACAUGCAGGUUGGGUGUUUGUGGAAUUAAUGAAGCUUCCACCAUUUGUCGGUUGUUAAAUGUUGAAGUCAUAGACUUAUCAUAAGCAUCACCUCAUUUAAAAUGGACUCCCUUUGAUCAUCUCCCCCCAAAAAAAUUAAAAAUAAAAAGAUAAAUAAAAUCACAGGUCACUAAUUUAUGAAGUUUUAUUUGGAUCAUCAAACUUUUAACUUCUAUUUCACUUGGAUCAUCACCACCGAAACUUCGACUAAUUUUUUAACGAGAUAAUGUAUGUUGCCCUUAAAAGUACUCUUUAGACAAUUAUUCUUGACUUAAAUGGGUCAGCAUCUUGUCUUGUGCGGAUUGGAUCGAGUCACGUUUGAAAUAGAGGAAAAUCGGAUUGAGCGGAGUCAUAUUUGAAAUAGUAUGAGACUAAUAAAAUCAAAUCAUAAUAAAGAUCCGCGGACACUGUGGGCGUGUUUGGUUCGAAGUCGGAGUCGGAAUCGGAAUCGGAAUCAAAAUAAGUUGGAAUCGGAAUCGGAAUGACUCAUUAUCUAAUUCUGUUUGGUUCAUCACCUGAAUCGGAAUCGGAAUAAAUCAUUUCCAUUGUCGGUGUUUGGUUCAGGUGAUAUAAAAAACGUAAUCAAAUUAGUAUAUUAACAUUAUCUUUAUAAUAUAUUAAUUUAAAUUCAAAUUAAAUAUUAAAUAUUAAAAAAUUACAUCAAAAUUUUGAAAUAAUGUCAAAAUUUUAAAUGUAUGUUUUUUUAAAAAAAUUAAACUUUGAAGUUGAGUGGAUAAUUCAAAAUAUGAAACUAAAUUUUGAUUUAUUCAAAUUCAAACUUAAAAUUACAAUUUAAAUUUUAAUUUGAAUCCAUAAAUUUAAUUUAAGUUUGAAAUAAAAUUUGAAUAAAACUUUAUAUAAAUUAAAAUUUAAUUUAAAUUCAAAUUAUAAGUUAGAUUCGAAAUAUUUGAUUAAAUUUUAAUUUUUAAUUUAAGUUUAAAUUAAAAUUUAAAAUAAUAUAUUUAAUUUUUAAAUUUUAACUCAUAUUUUAAUUAAAAAAUUUGAAAAAAUAAAUUUAAUUCGAAUAAAUAUCCAUUCCGUCCGGAUUCAACUUUCAAUCCGGCCUCCUAGGCCGGAUUGAAAAAAGAGGUGAUUGGAGGAUUUCCAUUCCACUCGGGAAUUGGAAUCGGAAUGGGACUCCCGCGUACCAAACAUCCACAAACGGAUUCAGCCAUUCCGAUUCCGAUUCCAUGAUGAAAAAGAAGCGAACCAAAUACGCCCUGUAUGUAUGCUUUAAAUGAAUUUAUUGCAUACUUUUAAUAGUUUAAACUUUUGAAGAAAUUGAUUUGGCUCAAAUCCAAAUUAUUUAAGUAAAAGAGAGAACCUUAAAAUUUAUCCGAAAGAUUCCAAAUUGGUUGUGGGCAAGGUGAGGCUAAAAAAGAAUAAAAUGAGAAGCUCCCAUAUUUAUUAUUUAAAGAAAAUUUAAUUAAAUUAAUAUAUCAAAUUAAAUGAGAGGAUAAUAAACAAUGAAAGCGCCAAGAAAUAUCAUGGCAUCUAGUGGUGUCUUUUGGUGCCUUGGCCUUUUUCGACUUCAAUUUUGAGUCAAAAAAUGAGAGAAAAAAAAAAAAGAUUAAUAUUAAAGAGAGAGAGAGAGAGAGAGAGAGAGAGAGAGAGAGAGAGAGAGGGGACAUAAUUUUAUGAAUAAAUGAAUGUAAGGAAGAUUCCACACGCCACUUUCACAAGAAGUUGUGACAAGUUAGCCCCUUCCCCAGCUACACCUUUCUAGUAUCUUUGCUACUGUCUGGUGCAGUUGAUUCGUAUCUCGGCGGUUACUAAAAAGAUUAAAAUUUGAUAUCUCGUAUGUAGUGAUGCAAAUGGAUUAGGGUUGGUGAAUAUUCUGUAUUGAUCUACUUCCGAUGGGACAAUAAGUGAGUGCCAAAAAUUAGAAAUUUAAUAAUUCCAAUCGAAUCCUUCCUGCUCCGCUAAGAAAUAGAGCGAGAGGCGAGAAACUUUUUUUUUUUUAAUUUGAUCUGUCCCGAUCCUCUAAAAUCUACUUCUAUCUCUUUCUGUCUCGAAUGGAAUAGUAAGUGGAAAAAAAAUAAUAAGAUAAAAUUCAACACACUCCGAAUCUAUCAUGACCUGUAAAGAAAAACAGAGCAGGAGGUGAGAGGUCCCUUUCACCCUCGAAUUCGUCUCGUUUGCAUCCCUAUCUGUAGGUACUUUCAAAGAAAAUAAUUUAGUCCCCGACUACUUAAGUAUCCAUCCAUACUUAUUGUCGCAUUAAAGAAGAGGUUGAUCAUAUCACAGGACAAACAAGGGACAUAUUUAUCUCUCCCUCCUCCUCUUCAACAAUAUUGCAUAUCACAUACAUCAAACUUAUUUUUUUAAUUAUUAAUAUUUUAAAAUUAAAAUAUAAUUUAAUAGAUAUAAUCUGUAUCAUAUAAAAAGUGUAUGUAUAAAAUAUUACAGAGUUUAAAGUUUUAUGAUAGGAUUUAUUAAUACAGUGCUGUUGAUGGCUUUUUAGAACAAGACCUACGAGUGUGUUAAAUAAUAAUAAUAAUAAUAAUAAUAAUAAUAAUAAAGAAAAAAAAAAGGGAAAUUUGAGAAAUCCCAAUGCUAAUGUCCUUUUUAAUAAACUUAAUGUCCCAUAAAUAAAACUUGUUCUUUGGUUGAGAGAUCUCAUCAAUACACUAUUUGGAGAGGCUUAUGUCAAGCCUAGUUAGUUAAUUCGCGAAUUAUUCGCGAAUUAAUGAAAAUCCGAAUUAAACGGUCCGUUUACGAAUUUUUCUCAAAAAAAGAGAAUUAUUCGCGAAUUUUUGGGCCAGCCGAAUUAUUCGCGAAUUAUUCCCGAAUUAUUAAAAAUAUGAGUAAAAAUCUUAUAUUUUGUAUUUUUAAAUAUAAAUUAUCUUAUAUUUUAUAUCUUAUAUUUUAUAUUUUAUACCGAAUCCGUUUUUUAAGCCGAAUUUUUUAACGAAUUUAAAAAUUAGAAAACGAAUUUUAUGCGUAUUAUAUCCGUACUGAAUUUUUGUCAAAUCCGAAUUAACUAACUAUGAUGUCAAGUGAAAUGCUUGUACACUAAAAACCAAUUAGAAUGCAAUGUAUAGUGACAAAGUGAUUCAUCAUGAAUUAAUGAAAAGACACUACAUUACAAAGAAAUAGUAAUCGUUAACAAGGAAUAUGUUUGUUGCAUAUUAAUGACAACAAUAAAUUAAAUAAUACAAUAAGCUAGUAAAUUUAUUUGAUAAACUUAUUGCAACAAUUUGAGAAAGAACUUAAAUGAAAAAAAAAACAAAAUAUUAAAAAGCAUAUAGCAUAGAUAAUAAAUAUGUAUAACAUAAGUAAUUAAUGCAAAUAUCUUGGAUAAUAUCUUGUUCGAGCUGAUCUUAAAUCCCGUAAAUUAUAAAAGAAUUGAUAGCAUAAAUUGUUGUUUUCUAUCUUUCGUUAACCCCUUUUAUUAACUAAGAAUUGCAUGUAUCUAAUUUAAAUAUUUAUAAAUAUAUAUAUAUAUAUAUAUAUAUAUAUUUAUUUAUUUAUUUAUUUAUUUAUUUAUUUAUUUAUAAAUAUUCCUCUUUUACAAUCAAAUAUACAAAGUUGUCACUGGUCUCUAAUGCUUAAUAAGUUACCUUAUAAAUAACUUAUAAAAUAAACAAAGAAAAACUUGUACACAAAGAUAUAUAGAUCAAUUAUUGGUAGGGUACUAUUUACACAACAUCCAAAUUCCACAUCUUUUCACAAAAAGGAAAAUGAAAGGGAAAACUCUAAACGGUUUAAAAGUAUCAAUUAAUUUUUUUCCUCUAUUUUAUUGAAUUGCAAAUAGGUAAAGUGAAAUGUAGUUAGCUUGUCAAAUUUCAAAUGUCACAAUGCUAAGUUUGAAAAGUUAAACCACUCUUAACCACCACGAGCGCAAAUUAAAGUUGGGCUAAUCAAUGGGUAUAAGUUACGUUACUAAUCCUUGACUUUUUUUUUCUAUUAGAUUGAUAUACAUUUUGGAUAAUAUAACAUCAGACACGUUGCUAAAUUUUUAAAUUCUAAAUUCUAAAUUCUAACUCUUUAUUCUAAGAUAAUGUAAGUUUUUUCUGCAUUCACUAAUCUGUGUAAAUAUUGUUGUCUCUGUCACCUUUUUAGUUAGUGCGUGCGUUAGGAUUCGCCUAAUAUUCAAUAUAUAUAAGAGCGAGAUAGUUAAGACUAAUUUUGAUCUUUUUUAUUUGAUAAAUCUUUUAAAUAAUAAUUAGUGUCUUGGAGAUGAGUUCAAAGGUCAUUUUAAUUUAGGAGAAAAAGAAAGCAUCAUAGCCAUUAUUAAUUCUAUUUUCAUUCUAUUUUACAUUUUGUUUUCUUCUUUCCAUUCCAUUUAGCAUAAAAUGUAGAGCACCACUUAUAAAUGCGCCAUAGACAUUCAAAUACAGUUAGUCAUUUAGAUUUGAAGAUUUCGAAUACAAUAUACAACCUGAAUGUAAAGCUAGAAAAAUUAAACCAAAUCAUAAUACAGAAAAUCGACUUGUCAACGAUAUUUUAUAUUUUAAGAUACGUAUAAUAAUACACAUUUUAGAAAAUAUAAAUGAGUUUAUCUAAUAAAAUGAUAAAUCAUAACUAACAAUCAUUUUAUUGUACUUACUUUCUUUUUCUCAUUUAUGAUUCUCCACAACUUUGGACUCCAUCACUUUUCUUUUCUUUUCUUUUUUUCUAUUUAUUUGGACUCUCUUUCCUUUCAAAAGUUUAUGAAGAAGAAUCAUUCUUUUUAACUUAUUGUUUCCUUUGCUUCUCAACUUCUUAUGCACUUUCCACUACUCUUCCAUGUGCAUAUGUCACAUUUCAUGUGCUCUUGUAUAAGUUGCAUAGCUAUAAAAUAUAUUUAUUUAUGUAUCCUUAUAUGGUGUAUGUAUAAAGCACAUACUUUAUUUGCUUCUCAAAUCCCAAUUUUUAUUCUUUUUCAUGCUCUUAUUACUCUCUUUUUUCCCCUCACUUUUUUCUUUUCCAAAGAGUGCCAACUUUUUCCAAAAUAUUAUGUUUUUCUCUCUCUCUUGAUAAGAAUUAAGUAAUAUCUUAGUCAAAAAUUUAAAAAAUUUUGUCAAAUAUAUACUUCAGUAAUUUUACUAAAUUCAAAUACUACUAUUUUUUAGCUGGUGAUAGAACUAAAUUAAUCAAGUAAGAUUAAAACUAUGUGAUUAAAUUUGAUAAAUUUUUUUACUAAUUAAGUUUAAAAACUUAAAUAAAAAGAUUGGAAGUUGAGCGGGUCACAAUUAAAAAAUAAUAAUAAUAGAAAUAAGUUGAGGGAGGUAUUUUAAAAAUGGCAUAUAGUUGAGGGGUCUCCAUACAUAUUUACCUUUUUUUUUUUUUUUUUUUUGAGUAAAGUGGAGUACAAAUCAAGUUUCCUUGUCAUUCAUAAUUCCGCUAUUUCUACUUCAAUCAUUGACUACAACUUUUCAAGAUUGGUCCACAUUAUCAACAUUGAAUAGCCAAAAUUUAAAAAAAAAAUUAAAUUCAAAAAAAUAGAUAGAUAGAUUUUUCUUUUUUACCCUUUCUCUUUUUUAGAGAAAUAAACUUAUGAGUUAGUUAAUUGAGGGCCCAACGGCUUGAUUAAUUAACUAUGAUCACUGUCUAAUCUGAUUCGAAUUUGUCAAUUGCGCGUAAUUUAUUUCUUAAUUGAUCUAUGGUUAAUUAAUUUAGGGACCAUUUGGUUCUAUAUAGUUGUAAUUGUAUAUAGAUUCAAAUUUGAAGUUUGUUUUGAUGUAUUUGAAUUCAAUUGCUACAGUUGUAACUGCACGAGAAGGCUCAACUGCAGCAGUUGAAAUUAUGCCCAAAUUAGGCGCAGUUUUAACUACAGCACUUAGAUAAAGUAAAUUUAAUCAAAGAUAAGCUUAUAUACUUUCACAAUAGCUUUUUAAAUAGAUUUUUUUUCUUUUCUACAUAGAGAGUAAUCUCACCAAACCAUAUAUAAAAUAAUAGAAACUCAUAAAUGCACUUCCAACUGCAUAAAUUUAAAUAAAGUAUUUAUAGCUGCAGCACUUUUUUAUAAUAUUUACUAAACAAGAUGCAUAUAAUUAUAAUUAUUAUAUUUUUAACUACAUUAAUUUUUAACUAUAUUAUAUUUACAAUUAUAUAGAACCAAAACAACCCUCAUUAGAGUAUUAAACUUAGCAUUUUAAUAAUAUCAUACAUCCUAGUCCAAUUAAAAAAUAAAAAGAUGAAUUUCCACUUCCAAAAUAAAAAAAAAUUGCAUUUUCCUCUCUCUCUCUCUCUCUCUCUCUCUCUCUCUCUCUUGUGAGUUUUGAUUUUUUUUAAUUGGAUUAGAUAAAAUUUUUCUCCCUUACUAUAUUCUACAUUUGCCUUGUCCUAAUUUACCCAAUAUGAAUAAAAUAUAGUACUUCAUUAAUAAAUUUUUAAAUUGCAAGUUCCUUGCAUAAUAAAAUAGCACUCUAAAAUAGAGGACAUUUUCCACUUGUUUUAUGCAUGAAACAUUUAGAUGAAAUUUUUUAACAUUAAAAAUUAAAGAUUAAUAUAGAAAUCAACAUUAAAAACCUCUAAAUUAACAAGUGAACAAAAAUAAAUGACAUUAACUACAAGUGCAUAUGUAAAACAAUGAAAGUAUGCUAUAUAUAAUUAGUAAAUAUACAUCAAUGACUUUUUUUAAAAUAAAUUGAGAAUAGAACAAAAUUAUAGUUAUCCAAGUGUAAAUAAAAAAUUAAUAAAUUUAAAUAUUUUAAUUAGUUUUUGGAAUCAUAACUCCAACAUAUAUAGCAAUAAUUUUAUAAAUUGGAAGAAACAAAAAAGCUAUUACAACUAUCUAAUUCUCAAAAUUUUCUUGCAAUUCUCAACCUCUAACCCAAAAUAAAAAAAUAAAUAAAUAAAUAAAUGGAAAUUUCAUCCAAAUUAUACACAAAAACAAUUAGAACACUUCAAAUUUAUUUCCAAUUGAUCCUAAACAACACAUAUAUAGGAACAAAGAUUUAGUAAUUGCAUGUACAAUUCUUAUUGAAGCCACUUAAUUAAUUUCUAGACAUGUCAUAACUAAAAUUGUGUCUUUUAACACACACAUAUCUAAUUAAACAUGUUCUCCAUAAUAAAAACCUAUAACAAUUAAUUAAGAUUAAUUUAAUUACUUUAAUUAAUAAUCCACACAUAAAUAACACAUUUAGCAAUUAAUUAACCUGCCACAAGGCCAAAACCCCACCUCCCACCGCGGCCGCCGCCGUCGCGAACCGGCCUAAGCUCACACUCCGUCGACGCGCGCCGUUGGGGUGGUACCCGGGGUCCUGAGGGUACAAUUCGCCAGGCGGCGUGUAAAUCCACGGAUAGUACGGCGGGGAGUACGCCCCCCACGGCGGCGGAGGGCAGAGGGCGGACGGCGGCGAUGGAACAUACGGAGUGUACGGCGGCGGCGGAGGCGGGUACGACCAUAUUGGCGGGGGCGACGGCGGCGGCGGAGGAGAGUACGAAUAUUCGGGGGGCAGCGACGGCGGCGGAGGGCUGGUGAUGGAACAGGGAGUACCGCACGGAUUAUCACACGUGCACUUUACUCCCAACAGUUUCGUACGGCUGAAUGAUGGAACUUCUAAAUCGACCUCGGCACCCGUGCCGAUGAGGAAAAGCAGCUGCAGAAGGAAAAUGAUUAGGAUUGGUUUCCUCAUCAUUUGGGUAUUGUGGAAUUUGAGCUCUCUCUCUCUCUCAAAAAUUUGGGGAUAAUUUGGGAUUAAUUCUCUUAUUACUCUCCCCUCUCUUUUUUGUUCUCCUUGUUUCUUGUAUAUAGAGAGAGAGAGAGAGAGAGAGAGAGGGGGUCUUAUUGGGUUUAGCAUUAAAUUUUGUCCCUAGGCUUUUUUUUUCUUUUUUUCUUUUUUUCUUUUUUUUUUUUCAAGUGCUCAUAGGCGUAAGGGUAAGGUGACGUGGAUGUGAUGGCUCUAUGUUUGUUGCAUUAAUUAAUUACUAAUGGAUUUUGUACAACUGGGGUUGUAGCAAAUUACUACAACCUAGAUAGGUGGCAUACUAUAUAUUAUAUAUUUUUAACUAUGUAGAUGAGGAAAUAAUUGAGCUUUCAAUUCACUUUCUCACUUUUGUACUUUUUUUUCUCUUUUAUUUCUCUCCCAAAUUUUCUUUUGGAUACAAUAUUUUAAUGUUUCUUUUUUAUUUUUAGCAAUUCUUUUAUGAUAAAAUAUCUGAUUUUCUAUUUUUGCACUUUAGUAUCUUAUUAUUUAAAAUAUAACACUUUAAUAUUCUAUAAUCUUUUUUUUUUCGCCAUUAACUCUUUGCUAAAUCAUAUAUAAAACUUCAGAUAUUUUCUACCAUUGGUAGAAAAUAUCUGAUUUUCUAUUUUUUCACUUUAGUAUCUUAUUAUUUAAAAUAUAACACUUUAAUAUUCUAUAAUCUUUUUUUUUUCGCCAUUAACUCUUUGCUAAAUCAUAUAUAAAACUUCAGAUAUUUUCUACCAAUGGUUAAUCAAAUAUUCAUUUUAAUGCCCUGUAGUUUACUAAAUUUUACUUCAGUAUUAUGUAAUUGUAUCUUUAUCACUGAUUAAACAGAAAAAUUAUCGGAGGGAAUAAUUAAAAAAAAGAAAUGAAACCACUUGUUACUAAAGUGAUAUAUUUUAAAUCACGGGAUACUAAAGUGACAAAGCACGAAACCGCAGGGUGGUAUUUGAAGUUUUUUUUUUCUUCAUUGUUGAUGUAUAAAGUAGACGAUUCUGAAUUUCGAUACUGUUAGCUUAAAUAGACCAGCAUCCUACCCUGUGGUGGGAGGCUAUAUGGGCCGAGUCAUGUUCGAAAUAGCGUGAGGCUGUGUUGGACCGAGUCAUGUUCGAAAUAGCGUGAGGCCAGGUGGGCCGAGUCACAAUCGAGACCCGUGGGCGCUGUUUCUGUACGCUUUAAGUGAAUUGGUUGCGUAUUUCUAACAGCUCGAGCUUUUGGGAUUAAUGGUUAGCGCCAACGAUCCGACAAGUGGUAUCAGAGCCAGAGGUCACGGGUUCGAUUCCUGCAUGCUGCAAAUGUGUGCAGGUGCUGGAGGGGGGACUGUUGGCUUAAAUGGGCCAGCAUCCUGCCCUGUGGCGGGAGGCCAUGUGGGCCGAGUCAUGUUCGAAAUGGCGUGAGGCUGGGUUGGGCCGAGUCAUGUUCGAAGUGGCGUGAGGCCAGGUGGGCCGAGUCACAAUCGAGACCCGUGGGCGCUGUUUCUAUACACUUUAAGUGAAUUGGUUGCGUAUUUCUAACAGCUCGAGCUUUUGGGAUUAAUGGUUAGCGCCAACGAUCCGACAGAUACACCAGCGCGAAUCUUAAAGCAUAGCGCGCAAUCUCGAUGCACGAUGGGUGGUAAAAUCCGAGUUAUUUUUUAAACUAUAGAAUUCAAACCAAUCAAAAUGCUUAACAUGAUAAUAACAAUAAUAAUAAUAAUAAUAAUGAUAAUAAUAAUAAUAAAGUUCAAGUUUUAUAUAUUGUUUGUGUAAAUAUCCUGAUAUUUUUAAAUAUAUUUCUGUCGUCAGAAUUCAUUAGAAAAAAUUAGUUAACCAUAAGUAAUAUAUUUAACCCUACUUAGUUAGUAAAGUGAAUUAAUAUUUUUAUCCCUCUUUAAUUAACAAUUUGAAUUUUUAGAGAAAUAUAUUUGUGAUGACAAAAAAAGCAUUUCACUUAUAAAAUAAUUAGUGUUUUAACGGUAAUAAACCAGAGAGACAUAUUUGAAAACAUUAUGAUUUUUGCAGGAAUAACAUAUAAAAGUUAAACUCUAUAAGAAUAUAUUUGUAAUUUACUAUAUUUAAAGGGACCUAUAUGAAAUUAACCCUAAUAUAUAUAUAUAUAUAUAUAUAUAUAGACUUGGAAUACUAUUAAAUAUAAACACUCUUUUUGCUAUCAAAUUUUUUACCCUUGGAUGAAAAAUUGUAGGGUCGGGAUGAUAUUAGUCGGUUAGAGUUGAAUGGUCCCCCUAGGAUUGAGUGGUCCCCACUGGAUUAUAGUAUUUAAUCCAAUGGUUAGAAAUAAUGAAAAGAGUUGAUCCAAAGGCUAAAAAACUGGUAGCAACAAUGGGAUUUUGCUACUAAUAGUAGUCCAGUCGAACUAUAUAUAUAUAUAUAUAUAUAUAUAUAUAUAGAGUGCGGCUACUAUGCUAUUGGAAGCACGGAGCCUUCCGUGCUUCCACCUCGUUUUCGAUGUUGCGACUUUCAAAUCGUCGAUCGGCUCCAUUAAACUUGAUCUAGAGUAUUUGGAGUAUCUAAAAAAAAAUUUUAUUAUUUUUCGAUAUCAUUUGCCUAGUGAUCGAAUGGGCUCAAAAUAACAAAUUUCAAUGGCCAUAGUGAGCUGUUUGCAAGUUUAACGGUGUAGAAAUAUCCAAAUCACGUGAAAUUUUGAUAGAAAAUUCUUUAUACUAUAUAAACAAGAUCAAUAUCUUUGAUUUAAAAUUUUAAUAUCAUAUUAUUACAUUUUGUAAUAUUUUUAUUUUCAGUCAUUGAUUUUGAGCCCUUUCGUUCACUAGGCAAAUGAUAUCGUAAAAUCAUAAAAUUUAUUUUCUAGGUACUUCAAAUACUCUAGAUCAAGUUUAACGGAGCCGAUCGACAAUUCGAAAGUCACAAUAUUGAAAACGAGGUGGAAGCACGGAAGGCUCCGUGCUUCCGAUAGCAUAGUAGCCUCACUAUAUUAUAUAUAUAUAUAUAUAUAUAUUAUAUAUAUAUAUAUAUAUAUAUAUAUAUAUAAUAUAUAACACACAAAAAAAAGAAAAGCCGGUAUACUAUCGGUAGCACGGAGACCUCCGUGCUACCAAGUUGUUUUCAAUUAUGCGGCUUUCAAAUCGACAAUCGGCUUCGAUAGACUUGAUCUGCACUAUUAAAAAUGUUUGGAAACUAAAUUUCAUAAUUUUUCGACAUCAUUUGACUAGUGAUUAAAAGGUCUCAAAAUUGACAAAUUUUCGACAUCCUAAAUUCAAGUCUUUUAUCAUCAUUUUUUAUAAAAUUUUUAUUUUCAGCCAUUGAUUUUUAGACUACUCGUUUGAUAGGUAAAUAAUGUCAAAAAAUUAUGAAAUUUAGUUUCCAAACACUUUCAAUAGUGUAGAUCAAGUCUAACGGAGCCGAUCGUUGAUUUGAAAGCCGCAUCAUUGAAAACAACUUGGUAGCACGAAGACCUCCGUACUACCAAUAGUAUACCAGCCUAGCUAUAUAUAUAUAUAUAUAUAUAUAUAUAUAUAGUCCGGCUACUAUACUAUUAAUAGCACGAAGCACUAGGUGCUACCAAAUUUUCCGCCGUUAGAUCUACCCUUUUGAUCAUUUUCACCCGUUAGAUCAUACUAUUCAACCAGCCACCCACUCAACCCUAGGGGGCCCACAUCAUCCUAACCACACAUCUCUUAAUUCAAUGGCCAAAAACUUGGUAACACCAAUGACUUGGUGCUAUUAAUAGCAUAGUAGCCUAGUUCUAUAUAUCAUUAAAAACGUGCCACAUCGGCCGUUAAAAUAGUCAUUUUUGAGACCUUUUGAUCGCUUGGUAAAUGAUGUCAAAAAAUUAUAAAAUUUAGUUUCUAUAUAGUUCCAAUAGGAUAGAUUAUACUUAACGGAGCCGAUCAUCGAAUCGAAUUUCCUAUCAUCGAAAAUAACUUACAAGUACGGAGGUCUCCGUACUUUCGAAAGUACCGGAGACUUACUCUCUCUCUCUCUCUCUCUCUAUAUAUAUAUAUAUAUUAAUUCGAAUUUGUUGGACCCUCGAACUUGACCUCACCCAAAAUUGUAUGGUGAGUAAUCUCCCGCCCUUCGAUCGCGAUCGGACGGUCGAUCGCUUUUGAUGGUGAUUUUGAAGUGGACUAUACAUGUAUCUGCGUUAGUUGGAUGACAUUUAAUUUGCUUCGAGAUCGACAAGGUGCUGCAAUCGGACGGCUCACAUCUCUCUCCGUUAAAGUUUCAUUUAUGAUUGUAUUUUUGAUUAGUACUAAAUGUUGGUUUUACUAAGUCUUCGGAAUUAAUGACAUAAAAUGUUGUGAUAGAGAUAGGUGGAGAGGGAAAAAAAAAAAAAAGGAAAAAAAAUGAUCUUAAUUUUAUAAGAUAGGAGAAAAAAAUUACUUUUUUAUGUUUUUUAAUUUCCAUCUUCUUUUCGAUCUUUUCGUGGUAAUAUGUUCAUAUAUAUUUAUAUAUAAUUUAAUUAUUUAAUAUGUUGAAUUUGAUGAAAAUAAAUUAACUAUUAUAUUUACGAGGUAACGAAAUUUACUUACGUACAUAAAAAUAAAUUAUCGAACUCAAUAAACUAGUUAUACUAACAAUAAGCUAUACAGAAUAAAUACAAAAAUUGAUUGAAUUUAAUUUUCAGACUGUAUGAGUUAUAUUAAAAUAAAAAAAAUAAAAAAAUAGCUAUAUUUGUGACACUCUAGGAUUUGAAAUAAUAUAUAUUUAAAACAUAGUAAAACUACAUAUCAUAACCCCGCAAUGUACUAUUUUGGGUGAUGACUAGGUUCAAAAGGGUCCAAAAGGUUAAUAGGGUUAAAUAUUUUAGAACUAGAGUAAUUUUAGGACAGACGAUCCCCCUAAUAACCAAAAGGUCGCGACACUUCAAGAGAACUAAAAUUUCUCUAUACUUAAGUUACGUUGGAUCUAAAGAUUCGUCAAUCCAAAUGCCCUAUAAAAAUUAGAAUUUUUAUAUGGCUAAUGGUUAAUAACACGAGUCAGGCUACUAUAGUCUAUAUAAGUAUAGAUCACUUUAUAUUUAUAAGUUUUCGGCCGUUAGAUCUAUAUAUCAUUUGAUCAUUUUUAACUGUUAGAUUACACUAUUCAAUCAACCACCCACUCAACCUUAAGAAAUUACUAUUAUUCUAACCGGCGAUCACUAUCAUCUUAACCAUACAUUUUUUUAUUCAACGAUCGAAAGUUUAUGAGUACAAAAUGGACUAUAGUCAUAGCAGUAUAGUAGCCCUAGCCUAAUAACACAUUAUGGACAGAGAAAAACAUGAUGAAGAAAGAGUGGAGAAUCAAUUCAAAGGGAUUUGCACUUUUGUAACAGGCUAGUUUAGCUAGUCUGCUAACUAUCUCUUUAUUGCAUGUAGGUUUGUGAGGAUUAUAUGGCUUUCUUUAAACAUAUUUAUAUGGCUAAAUUAUAUAAAAACACUAUGUCAAAACUCGAUUUUUCACUUUCCCUCCUUGUCAUUUAAAAACCUACACUUUGCCCCCUUGUAAAAUGAAAAAUAUUCACUUCGCCCCCAGCCAUUAGUAAACUGUUAGGAUUCCGUUUAUAAAAUAUUAUUAUAUAUUUUUUUAUGCCAAAAAUGCCCUCAGCCUUCUCUACUGUGAACAUGGUGAUGGGCAAAAUGGUGAGGGGCAAAAUGGUCAUUUUAUCAUUAUAGUUCACACCGUACCCUCUGUGAAUAUUUUUCAUUUUAUAAGGAGACAAAGUGUAGGUUUUAAAUGACAGAGAAGGAAAGUGAAAAAUCGAAUUUUGACAGAAAGAUUUUCUGUAAUUUAGCCUAUUUAUAUUUAUAAAAAAAAAAUCUUUACCCUCUGAUGUCAAAGACUAGUGGUUGAAGUGAAGGAUGAAUGAAAGAGUGAAGUGUCAUCAGAGACAAGGAUGGAAUAAUAUUGUAGUCAUGGCUAUUUUUUGGUGUAUUUGGUGAGAAAGUAAUAAUAGAAUAUUCCAUGCAUGGGGUGCCUUAUUCAGACAUGAUUCUUGUAUAGAGAAAAUUAACUAUUUUGCUUCAAUGUGGGUAGAUAAGUUGGUGUAGAGCAAAAGAAGGAAUUCUUUUAUUUUUCAGAUCAAGAAGAGAGCAAUAAUAUUGAUGCAUGUUGAUAGUUUUUUAUUCUUCUUUGUUUGUUGAUUAAUUUGCUUGUUUAUUCAUCUAGGAUGUGAUGGGUUUUAGUGAUUAUAUAUAUAUUUUAGUGGUAUAUUAUUUUAAGAGUUUGCUGAUGAAACAUUUUAUUUUUGUGGUUCGAUCUCUGCGUGAAAUAUAUGAAACAAUUGUUGUACUCUAAAAACUUAAACUGUUAGAGAACACGAUGUUUAUAUAUUUUUUUAUAUUUAACGCUUCUCCUUAUGCUUGGGGUAGAGACUUUUUACAAUGGCCCAUGACGUGGACUUGAAUUAAAUGAGAGAAAAUUAAUGAUAUUAGGAGUCUACCAUUACUCGAACUCAGGACCUUCUUCUCUGAUACUACGUGAAAUAUAUGAAACAAUCGUUAUAAUCUAAAAGAUUAAGUUUUUAGAAUACAACGAUUGUUUCACACUCUGUACGGUUAACUUUUUUUUUUCUUUAAUAAAUAUCUCUCAGAGAUUUCUCUCCUAUUUAUUACUCAAAAAAAAUAAAUAAGUAAGGGAGCUUUGGACUUGUGAAGCCUAUGCAAGCAACUUCAAAAUGAUGAAAAAGGAAAACUUUAAUUUUGGCUACAAUGAUUUCAGUGGGAGAGGUUUCAAAAAUUUUAGAACCUAAACUUAGAAAGAAGGGUUGAAUAUGAAAUAUUAAUAUAUCAUUGACCUCUAAUAACUUUUUAAAUUUUUGGCUAAAAUACUGAGAUUUUUUUUUGUAAAUACUUUUUUUUUUAACUUUCAAAAACCUAUAUUUUACCUCAAAUUUUCAGAAAUAUUUUCAGAGAGUUACAGCAUUAAUGGAUAGAUGAAAUUAUCAAAAUUUUCUUACUUGUUGUUCUAUAAGAAAAUUUUUUAAUAUAUUUUUAUCAUUUUCAAAGAUAUUUUCGAUAGAAAUUAUAAAAAUGAAGGGAACAGUGACAGAACCCUAAUGGAGGGGGACUAGAUGCAUCAACUUAAAAUUUUAAGUGCAUAAAAUAUAAGUUUUUGAAAGUCAAGAAGAAAAAGUAAAAAAAAAAAAAAGAUAUUUAUAGAAAUUUUUUUUGUAGUUUAACCAAAUUUUAAAGAUAAUUGAUUAUUUCAUAUGGUAUUUACAGGAUUGAGGCUUUUUGUUGCCAAUUCCUAGCAACAAAUAUUACUACAUUAAAUCCCUUUCCAAAGUGUAAAAAUCAAAUGGUCCAUAAUUUGUCCUUGACUAUGUUUAUUAUGUCAUGAUAUACACAUGGGAGAAAAAUGAAAAACAAAAAAUCAUUUUCACUUUUCUUUUGAUUUUGAUCAUUUGGCUCUCAAUUUGGUGUACCCAUGCUACAGGAUAUGGAUUGUUCACCUAAUUUGACCCCCCCCCCNGACAACUAAUUAAUUACUAAUUAAUUAUGCUCCUCCCCCUCCCCCCAAUAAAAGGGGGGUCCACACCACUCACUGCCUCUACCUGCACCAAGACAUUUUUUUUUUUUUUUUUUUUUUUGAGGGAAAACACGCCCUAAGGUGAUUUUAUUUAAUUAAUCAGUGGAUACAGACUGGAAAAAAUCAUCAAUAGACGACCAUAAAAAAAACUUUUUGAGUUGUAUAGUUAUAUCGAGGAUUUUUCUAUUGUUAAGUUUUGUACGCGGUAAAAAGCGAGUUAAUUAAAUACUAAUUAAGUUAAUGAAAUAAUUAUGAUUUUACCUUUAACUAUCCCUAGCUUGUAGGGUAAAGAACUAAUGCAUGUUUUUCUUUUCUUUUUAUUUAGAAUAUAGUUUUUAAUUAUAUAGCUUAUAUCAGAAUUUUUUAACUAACUUAUUAAGUGUGAUAUCUAUUAGUUUUACUUGAAUUAACUCUUUCUCCAUAAGUUUUGUUAAAAUUAUGAAAAUCACUUUUCUCAUGAUAAGUUUACAAAGUUUAUAGUUAAUUGGAGUGUAAAAUGAAAUUUUACAAAUAGGGGUUUUUUGAGAAUAUCUUUGUUAUAUUUACGAUGGCAUUAGUAAUAUUCUAAACCUUAAAAGGGUAUUGAUGAAAUUAUAGUUAGUAGUAGGGCGUUUCAAAAAUUAUCUGUGUUUUUUAAAAUACCUAUAUGGAGCGAGAUUCAAAGUACUUGGUAAUAUUGCUUAAUAAUAAAGACAGAAACACUACAACAGAAUUAGGUUAUAGGGACACAUGUUUGGGACACAUGUUUGGGACACUUUUGAGUAAGUGUCCCAUUUAUCCUAAAGCUUAAAAAAACAUCUAGUAAUGCCUAAAUAUAAAGCCCAAUCCAACCAAAAAUAAAAGAUUACUCUACUCAACCCACCACAUCCAGUCCAUUUGGCCCGAUUACAAAUAGAAAAGAAAAAAGAAAGAAAAAUCAAUUACCAUCUUUUCUUCUCUCUUCACUCAAUCCACUAAAAUUCUAGACGAAGAGCCUUUCCUGUCGUCCUCCUCCGCCACCACAGUCAACGGGAUAGAGUUUCGGCGGUUGCUACAUGCUUAAAUAAGUGUUCGUAAAUUAGCAGCACUCUUUUAGGUUAUAGCGACACUCUUUAACUGUCACUAUAUACCUAGCGACCCCACAUAUAGCAACACUUUUUAAAAGUGUCGGUAAUUUUAGCUAGUAGCACUUUUUUGACAUGUACCUACAUUUAAAAGUGUCGCUAUAGACCGUUUUUGUUGUAGUGAAACGAGCUACUCUAAAUAGUGGUGGUUUUACUUAAACUUCUGAUUCAGUUUAUCUAAUUGUUUAACAUCUUACAGGCCUUUAAUUUUAAAUUUUUAAGUUUUGAUUAGACAAAGAAUUUGUUGAAAAGGAAAAAAACAAGCAUUGGUGGUCAUGUUAACAUAAUUCAACACAUUUUUUAGUUCUUCAAAAAGAUUAAAAGGCUUUCAAAAUCUCCUUUACCUUUUUUUGUUUUUUUUUUUUCUUACACUUCUAGUUAAAGCUAUAGAAAGUGUAAACAUGGUAUAUAUAUAUGUAGACCUUUAAAAAAUUAACUUCAAAAGUUUAAAUUCUUUUAUAUGACCAUGGAAAAAUAAAUUGUUACACAUAUACAUUGCAAAAUCUCUAUCUAGUUUCUCCUAUGUGGUUUGUAACUCUUAAGCUCUAACAACAAUGGUCCUAUGUGAAAAUAUAUUUUUAUACAAAAGCACCUAACCACAAUUAAUUGAGUCUAAAGGACCAUGAUUAGAAUAUGCUACACUAUAUUUUAUACAAUACUUUUGACUAUAAGUCAUCUUUAUUUAAAAACUUUGCACAAAAAAAAAGAAUUUCUAUUGCAAAUGAUAUAGUGACAUAAGAUUAUCUCAAAAGAAAAAAUUUUAAUUUAGAGCUUUCAAUUCGUUUAAUACAAAGAAUAGCUACUGGAGCGAAUUUUACCAUAACACUUCUACUAAGAAUAUUACUCGAGUGGCCUUAUAUGAUAUAGCAUUACACUUUACAGCAGAACCAAAUGAGCCCUAAUUCAACAAUAGAGGUGAAUAAAUAAGGGUCAAAUGGUCAACAUAAACAUAUUUUUCAAGCAAGGACAAUUGCAAAGCACUAUGGUUUGGAACAAAAAUUUUUUGAAUAAUUUGGACCCUUGUUGGAAGGAACAAAAGAGAAGGAUAUGAAAGAGACCCACUACCAACUUGAUACUAUUGGUUUUGGAAGGAUCAUAAAAUAUAAAGAGGACCCAUACACACCAUACACACACAAAGAAAAGAGUGGGGCUCAAAAGAAUGGUUUUGAGUGGGAAUCUACUAAUUAUCAAUGCAAUGGGGUAUUGAUUGAGAUAGGAAAGCAAUUUCCAAGCAACCUCUUUCAAUUCAAAAGCAUCUUCUUCUUUGGUCUCUAUAGCACUCUCCCUUAUCUUCCAAACAUGCACAUUGAGAAGCUUUGAACAAAUUAAUGUUGUACAAAUUGUGACCUUGGGUGGAGGAUUCUCAUUGGCCUUUUCUUUUCUUGAAUAUUGUAAUGUUGUACUAUUCAUUUCCAUUUUAUACAAACAAAAAAAAAAAAAAAUUAUGAUUAACUAAUAAUGGAUGAUUACUAAGUAGGGACAAAAGGAUUAAGUGGAAUAGCAUGGAGGUUUCAUUAGGUAUAAGGUCAUAUGUUUUGAUAAAUUGUAUAAGGUCUGCGGUAGCAAUAAAAUACUGUAAGUACGAGAAAAAAGUCCAACUUAGAAUCAAUGAGCACGAGCCUAUCCGUGUUUUACAUCCCUGCUCUUAAUAUAUAUUUCUGAGUCUGUUUCCCACUAGAUCGAUCUUUUGGAUAAUAUGAUAUAUAGUAGAGUUAGUUUAAAAUUCCUUUGUUCUGUGAACACAUAAUUAAAGCACUGUUAGACUUGCAAAACUCUAAAAUCGGUCGAUCUCUCCUCCGUCUGUCGCAUGUGUGUAUGUAAAUAGUACGUGGGUAACGAUUUUUUCUUGACCAGUUAUUUUUCAUUUUUUUUUUCAUAUUGUUGGAAAGAAAAAUUGUAAGAAUUAGCAUUAGAUAAAAACGGCAAAACUACAUCAAAGUUGGGCUCAGAGAACCAUCUAAAAGUAAAAGAAUAAUAAUUCAUAGAAACCUUUGCUAAGUUAUGAACAAUACAGUUUCCCCUGUAACUAGUAUAAACAUACAAGGAAUUGAUUAAUUUUGGCUAUGGGCUUUUAUGUUGGGAUAAAACAUGUGGGUUUGUUGUGUUGGGCCAUGAUAUAUAUCAAGGGUAAUGUUUUUUCUUAUUCUUUUAUGGUUUUCUUUUUUUUUCCCUUUUUUUAAAAAAGUGGAAUUCAUGUAAAUUUAAAUAUUUUUGGAGUUACCAAUUUAUCACAUGUAAAAAAAAAAAAAAAAAAGGUCUUUGGUUUAUUAUUAUUAUUACUUUACGGACGAAACAAUUUGGUAAGCACCAGAAUACCGCAAUGAAUACAAAAAAAAAAAUUCAAUACGAAAAAAAAAAAGAAGAAAUACAAAGAAAAAGAAAAGAUAUUGAUGUGUCCAUAUGUUAUAGACAGGUUUUUUUUUUUUUCUUUUUCCUUAAAAAAAAUUUGUAAACUUCACCUAUGCAUGAUAUGGUCCAAAUGUCUAAUCUGUGAUUGUUACAACUUUUAUUAUUUAAAAGAAUUAAUUUGAUUAAUCCAUACCUGUGCUUAUAAUUUUAUGAUGUUACUGACCUCUUUCUAACUGAUGAAAAUGGAUUGUUAAUUUAAAUCCAAUUAUAUAAUUGACUGGAAAUCCAAUUAUAUAAAAUUUAAAUAUUUAUUAUUUUAUAAUUAUUUUUAUAAAUUUUAAAUUUUUUAAUCAAGAUACUAAUUUAAAUAGAAAUAAUUUAUUAUUUAUACUUUAAAUUUUAUAUAUUUUUUAAAAAAAUUUAAAACUUUACCGACACUGCACGUCCCGUGCCUUCCGGGCCUAAGGGCCAUGCUGGACCAGAGGCUUGGUAGCUCCAGCCCGGCACGGCCCGGUUCUCGGAUUUGGAACCGGGCUUGGCCUGGCUAAUGUCAGUCGUGUCUGCUCAGCACGGCCCACAUUACACCCCUACUCCAGUCCCAACCCACCAGAAUGAAGCGAUAAGUGGGGGAAAAAUUAUAAGAUAAAAACUGACCGGUCUCAAAUCCGUUCUGACUUGCCAAGAAAACUAGCCAGGACCCAGGAUCCAUUCUGACCGGCCAAAAACUAACUACCCUGAAGUUUUGGAAAUAACUAAAAAUUGGGACAACAAAAAAUGGUACAUUAAUUUUAUAUUUGAUAAAUGGUUUAAUUAUAUAUGAUGGAUUAAUGUAGAAUUUAACUUAAGUAACUUUAGUUUGAAAAGUUCCAUUUAAUUUUUACAUCAACAACAUCUUGGACUAUGCUCAACCCAAAAAGAGGGCAUGGGCUGGUGAAGGCCUAUACUUGAGGGGGUUUCACACAUUUUUCAAAUUUUUAUAUUCCUAAUUAAAGAUUCUAGCAUGGGUAAGUGCAAUAUAAUUAAGAAGAUUACAUCAUCAUACUUAAUUUUUUUUUUAUAAAAAAAAUUGUUUUUUGUUCACUAAACAUGUGGGAGAAAGCAAGUAUGUUCUAUAAUUUUGCGACCUUUUUUCCCGUCAUUCAGAUUAAUCUAAAAUUCAUCUAUUGUUAAUUAAAGACAAGGACCGAAAUUAAGAAUAUUCUGGACUCGAAUUCAGAACCUUCUACUACUUUAAUUUUAUGUAAAAUAAUUAAUCAUACCUAAAACUUAAGUUAUUUAUUAGAAAUAAUAUUUUAAUAUUGGAAAAAUCACAAUUAGCCUUCUAUUGUUUAGCACAUAAUUAUUGCUUCACCACCUUGGGAUACGAAAAGUGUUACUUCGCUGCCACACAUUUUAUUUUUAUUUCAUCAUAAAAACUUUGUCAUUAAAAUUGCAGCAAAAUGAUACAAUUUACAAACCAAAUGAUAGGAAACUAAAAUUAUAAACUAUUAAUGUGAUAUAUUUUACCACAUAUGGUUACAUUAUUUUACUAUCCAAAUUAACAACAGAUCGUUACACUAAAAGUGACAUUUUUUGAACUGCGAUGUGACAAAGUUAAAUAUGCUAAACAACAUGGAGGCUAAGGAUUUUUUUUUUCCCUCUUGAAUAUUUUAUGUCCAACAAGGUUUAUAUAUGCAUAACAACCAAGAUUUGAUAGGUCAAUUAUGAAAAAAAAAAAAACAUUUGUCAAAGGCCACAAAAUUGAAAAACAAAAUGUGGUUUAACCUAGAGAGUUGACUUUGUUGUUGACAAGGUGAGUUGACCCCAACCACUCCAACCAAGUUGUGAUAGAGAAGUUUCAAUUUUCAACUGAAAAUGUAUUAAUUGAAAACCUAAUCUCUUAGACUUGUUCUUGAAAUUUUCAAUUGGUCUCCUCUAAUUUAUUGCUUUAUAUAAAUAUAAAUUCUUCUUUCAAAAGUUGGCUCCAUUUCCACAAAUAUAAAAACAAAUUGCUAAGUAUACUUAAAUUAAUUCAUUUAUUGAGUAUUGCAAAUCUUAUGUCAUGUUACUCGGGAUCUAUUUGACUUUGCUGUAGAGUGUAGUAUUCCCAGGUUAUUUCGAUAUAAUUAUUAUAUUACAGAAAAGACGAUAAAUUUUUUUAUAUAUGAAAUAUUGUACUGGUGAACAAAAUAACUGGGAUCAAACAAAAUCUUAGUAUAUAAUUGGCCUGGUUUAUGAGGAGGUAGCUUCUGCACUUCAAGAAGUAGUAGCUGAGCUGUUUGCCAAACAAAAAAUUAAGAAACUUUAUUAAAAGAUUUUUCAUUUCUCUCCUAAUUUAUGUAGCACAAGAUAAAUUUGUGAGGUUAAAAAGAAAAGGGAAAAAAAAUAUAUUAGUGGCUACCUAAGUAGAUUGGUGGAGCUUGGCCUAAAUUUGUUUGGUCUAAUUUGAGCCUACAAUUUGGUUUGUAUCUCUUAUACCAUUUUAUUCUAAUAAUAAAGGUCCACUAGGGCUCUACCAAACAACCUUAUAUAUAUAAUAAUAUCCUUAUAAAAAAAGGUAAAAAUAAAAACAAAUAAAUAUUAAAUAAUAAUAAUAAUAAUAAUAAUAAUAAUAAUAAUAAUAAUAAAUAAAAAAUUGUGCCCAAGGAUAUUAAUAUGCUUACUCAAUGGUUUAAUUGUUAGCAUACAAUAAUUGUGAUAUGCCUAACUCAAUUAUGUUAGCUUAGACUUAUUGUAAUAAAAUUUGUUCUAAGACAUGUUUAAAGUGUAAUUAAUCACGAGAUUUGCGCUCGACGUCGAAGUAAAAUUUUCGACGAAAAUUGAUACAUCUCUUCUUAUAGUUCUUCGAAAAGGAUCUAACUGCGAAUUUGGUUAGUUUUUUUGAAUUUGGUAAUUUUGCGAAAUCUAUUAGUAGGAUUUUGGCCAAAAAUCCACCCAAAAUUUGGGUACUAUAGCUUGAAAGGGUAAGGGAAAAUUCUAUAACCACUUAGUUAUUCAAAACACUAAAGUUAGAAGAUAAUAGAAAUUAGCACAAAGAUACUUCUAAAUCUCAAUUAAUAUAUAGAGUAGGGCUACUAUACUCUUAUGAGUAUAGAGCUCUUUGUACUCAUAAGUUGUUUUCGAUGUUAGGGUUUUCAAAUCGAUGAUCCACACCGCUAAACAGGAUCUAGAGUAUUUGAAACUUCUAGAAAAUAAAUUUCGUAAUUUUUUGAAAUCAUUAUAAAGUCCAUCAAGCAGGUAUAAAAUGAACGGUUAAAAUCAAACUACAUCCUAAAAAUGGAUGAUCGGAUCUUUCAAUUUAAGAUCGGAGUUAUUGAUCUUUAUUUAGGUAGUGAAUAGAAUUUUUGAUCAAAAAUUCAACUUAUUCCGAUUCUUUUUUACCGUUAAACUAGCAAAUAUCUCAUACCGGCCGUUAAAAAUUAUAAUUAUUUUAGCUUUUGAUCAUAAGAUAAAUGAUAUCAAAAAAUUAUAAAAUUUGAUUUCUAAAUAUUUUAAACGCUCUAGAUAAUGUUUAAUGGUAUGGAUCGUCGAUUUGAAAACUCUAUCAUCGAAAAAAACUUAUGAGUAUGAAGGCGAUUGUACUCAUAAGAGUAUAGUAGCCGGACUCUAAUAUAUAUAUAUAUAUGAGUAGGGCUAUUGUGCUAUUAGGAGCACAGCAGCCCUUAUGCUCCUAAGCUUUGUUACUUAUUCCAAGUAUACAUGCAUGAUUCAUUUGGGAGUGGUUUUUCACUACUCUUUUGACAUUGUAAAAUAUUGUAGAAUUUGAUCACUCACCUUGCUUGGUAAACUACUUGUAUUUGCCAAGUGUGAUUAACCUAAACCUCUAAUUAUCUUAAUACUAAUGUAAUGAAUCUGAGAACUCGUCGACAAUCACGCGUGCUUUGCCUAAUUCUUUCGUUUAGAGUCGGAUAACAAACCACGUUUCGAAGAUUAUAUAGUUCAAUCAAUUUCCAUGAAAUCAUAAAUCUCCAUCAUUUACCUUCAUAGUUAUUGAGUGGAAAUCCAAUUAGAUCUUAUCUCCAAAGUGAUAGCAACUCAAAUAUAGGCCAAAAUCAAUUGAAAUAACAUAUCUUAAGUGAAAGUGGCUGCUCAUUAUUCGUCGACAUCGAACAAUCUCGUAGAAAUUGACAAGUUGAUCACACUUACCUAGUUGCUUGGUAAACUUAUCUUUGCAAAGUGGCAUUGACCUUAAUUGCAUCUAAUUAUCUUAAUAAUUUAAGGACUCUUCGAUAAACACGCGUUAGUUUCACAUAGGGCAUAUGUAUAUGUGCUUGGAUCGACGAAAUUUAAUUGUCGGUGAAACUCAAGUGCAGUGAAGUUUAAGUUUCUUUAAACUUAAUUAGCAUUCCUUUUAUUUGUUUGUUUUAGUGAAAUUCGAUUGUUUGAAGUGAGGUUUCACUAUUUCUAUUAUUUGUUUUGUUGAAACUUAAGUAUGUCCUAAGUCAUAUUUUAGCAUUUUUGCUAUGUUUUUCAAUAUAAUUAAGUCCACCUAGUCUUAAAUUAAAUUUCCAAAAUAUAUGUUUUCGCACUUACGCCAAAACAAACAGUAGAAGGAAUCACUUAUACCAUAACUCUAUUAAUUUCUCACCCUUGAGUCACUCCAAUCCAAACAUAUACACCAUUAAUUAGAGUUGGAUACUUGGAUGGUUACAGAAAAUCAAAAAUAAUUGACAAUAGAGCUCAAGAUUUAUUUUAUGAAAAUUUAAUGGAUAAAAUCUCUAUCUUGUCAAAUAUAUUCUUAGAUCAGUUUUCUACUAUAUCAAUCUUAAUUUUAGAUAAUAUAGUAUCAUAACUAAUUCUAAAACCCCUUCAUUUCAUGAGGUUGUGAUCGAGCGAGUUUGAUCCUUAUCUUCGUAUAUAAAUAUUCACGAGACCAUUUCCUACCAUUUCCUCGUGCAUUUUGAGUGGAAACCCAAAUGUUCCUAACUCCAAAAGUAAUAGCACUACAACAAAAUAUGUUUUAGACAAUGCGUCUUCAAUAUUUAAUAUGUACUGACAUCAUGAUUAAGCGUCGCCAAUAAACAUAUUUUUAUCAAAUACUGAUAAAAAUUCUUCGAGGCUAUAUUAAAACGUCGGUAUAUUUAUUUUCGACAUGUUUACUUAACGACUCCUUACUUAGACAUUUUUAUGAGUGUCGGAGUUAUUCUUGUCGACGUUUUAAAUCGUCGCUAGUUAUUGUUUAAAAUGUCCUUAAAUACAAGAUUUGUUUAGUGUAGCAAUUAACUAACUCAAAAAUCAAAAAUAGGUCAAAAUCAAUUGAAAUAACAUAUCCCAAUUCCAAAAAAUGGACCAACAAAUACCAAAGUGUUUCAACAAGUGAUGGAGGGAGGUGUUGAGAUGAGGCACUAACUCAAAAGUGGGAUCCAAAAGUUGCCUUGGCAUUGGAGAGGAGUAGUCGGCAAUGGGUCCCUCCUAGCGCCGACUUUAGCACUAAGGUGGUCGGUGUUGGUGCACAUGCACAAACCAAUUUGUGUCCAGUACAAUGUGGACACAAGUGCCUAAUCAAAAACACAACAUAGUUGACCUAAUAUGAGCACUUGGUGGAGAAUUUUGAUGGUGGAAAUUUUAGGGCUAGUCAAAAGGUGGUAUAAUACUUCGGUUUACUUUCUUAAAUAAUGUGAAAAUAGGCCUAUGAAUUAAAAAAGAAAAAAAAAUUAAAUGAGACUUUGAUACCUUAUUAAAUAACAUGAAAAUUUGUUUAUCUCAGUAAGUUUUAUGUGAAAUCCUCACCUCAUUUAUUCGGGUUGUGGAUUAAAAUAAGUCUUCAAAUUGAAAAACAUAUAUAUCUCCUUUUUGUUACUCAAAGAUAUAUAUAUUUUUAUCUGCAACACCUUGCUUCAAACUCGCUCAACUUUCUUAACAUCUUAGGUAUAGCCACCGCCCAAAAUAUCAUAAACGGAUUAAGAGUUUUAGCCCUAUUAUAUCUUAUAUAAAAGAUUAUUUAUCUUUUAAAAAAAGUAUUAGAUGGACCUAGUCGGACUUGAUCUGCUCUGAUAUCAUGUAAAAUAAUUGAGAUUUUCAUGACGAGCUAUUUUAUAUAAUGUUGGGUGUGAAUUUUUUUCUAAAUUUUCUUGCCAUUUGGUGUAGAGCUUACUAUUCAAAUCAUUAUAUUUUUCUAUCAAUUUACUCCUUAAUAGUAGUAGUUGAACAAUGAAUAAUAUCAUUUUAGGUCACAUUAGUAGUAGUUGAACACUUUUUGGCCUUAAAUGUUCUCAUACUAAUCAAUUAAGAGAAAAAUCAAAUGCUUGACUAUGUAUUGCUAUAAAGGAUUAGGCACUAAGCGAAUCGCGUGCGAAUAAAAUAUAAUUUAUUUAGUGGAAAAUUGGUGAGAUCAUCUUAAAUUAGUGAUCAUAAAUGUAGAACAAUAGCAUUGACAUUUCCUUUAAAUAUAUAUAUAUAUAGAUAUAUGCACAAUGGAAUUGUAAGGCUAACUUAUAUAUGCUAUCACCUAAUUAUAAGGAAUCAAAGUGAGUUUGCUUCAUGUAUAGUUGUUAUUACUAGUUGAAGUAAUGUAGGAGAUUGAAAUACACAUUAUCACCUAAUAUUCCAUUUAUGGUGCCAAAGGAAUCUCUACUAAUUAAGAACAUUAGAGCUACCAAAUAGAUGAUUUAAUCAAAACACUUUCUAUUGAAAACUAACAUAAGUUAAAGGAGAAUUUUGUUUUUAUAUAGGCUCCGUUUGAAAUUGCAGAAAGAUCGCGUUACGUGAUCGAGGUGAAAAAAUACCAUGAGCAAAUAAUCUAUUUAUUUUCGCACGUGAUAUCCUGUUUUGCAUAUUGCGAGUCGAUUACAACAUAAUUUUUAUAAUUCCACUGAAAAACGUAAAAGCAUAUAUCGUCAUACACUUUUGCCCCAACUCUAUUUUAUCUACCAAACGGGCCCUUAGUAUACCAAAUUCCGGGGACUAUGUCUGCCGGCAUAUUUGAUAAGAACAUUCGAGCACAAUUUAAAUAUAAAUUUUGGUUGUUUAUUCUCACUCACAAAAUACUCUAAUAACAAUCAAAAAGACAGAAAUGGAUUCUCUAAUAUGCUGGGGUGCUUUUAAUAGCACCAAAUACUAGCUUGUUAGAUUAUACUCCUUUGAAUAUUUUUACUCGUUAGAUUAUACUAUUCAACCAACCAUCAACUCAACUCUAGAAGAUCAUUAUCGUCCUAAUCACACAUUUUUUUGGUUCACGGACUGAAAAAUCUAAUAAUACUAAUGACUUGGCGUUAUUAGAAGCAGUUCAAUCUAAUUUUCUCUAAUAUAGUAAAGAUAUUUGAUUGGAUAUUAUUAUUCUUAUACAAAAUAUUAAAAAAGAUUGAGCUUGGUGGCCGCUCAGAAGAUACUCUUUUCAUUUCUUUUCUUUUGCUUUUUUUUUUAAAACAAAAUAAAAAUUUAUUCUAGACCAACUUCUUUGACCAUGUCCCUCAAUAAUAAUAAUAAUAAUGAUAAUAAUAAAAAAAUUAGAUUCCUUCCUUUUUGUCCUCUAUAAAUACAUCCUCCCUCUCCAAAAAAACAAAAAAAAAAAAGAGAAAACACACGCAAAUUACGCAAACAUGACACUCCCUCUCCUCCACACCCUCGCGUCCCUCCUCGUCACGUGCUCCCGCCGCGUGUCACGUGCGGCGCGCCGGCUCCGCCCGGGCCCACCGCACUUGCUCCCCCGAUUCCUCGGCCCGCGCCGCAGAAAGAUCGCCGCGGAUAAUCAUAAUCGCCGCCAAAAACUCGCCGAGGAGGAGGAGCAGCAGCAGUGCUACGGCGAGGAGGAGGCGGAGGGGGAGGGGGAGGGGGAGGGGGUGUGGCGCAGGGCGAUACUGAUGGGGGAGAAAUGCCAGCCGUUGGAUUUCUCGGGCGUGAUCUACUACGACUCCGACGGGCGCAGGCUCGACGCCGCGCCCGCCCCGCGCUCCCCGGUUCGGGUGACUCCUCUUCCUCUCGCGGGUUCACAACGGGUCGCGUCUCUUGUAAACGGGUAACGGGUCUUACCCGUGCGAGCUUUGUAGUUGUUGUAGUAGUGUUCAUAAUUUUGUUGGUGAAAAGGGGUAUGCCGAACUUAUCUUCUUUACUAUACGAACUAUUAUUCUAAUUCGACAAUUUUUUUUUUUUGAAAAAAAAAAUUUAAAUACUGCUCAUGUGGUUUUACGCUUUUUCACUUUAGUACUCUAUGAUUUAAAAUGUAUUACUUCCGUAUCCUAUGAUUUUAUUUUUCUUUUUCCGUUAUCUUCUUUAUUAAUAUUUUUAUUAAACCAGUGUCAAAAUUAAAACCACGUGAUACUAAAGUGAAUAUUUGAUAAAUCACUGGAUACUAAAAUAAAUAUUCGAUAAACCAUAGGUGAGGUAUAUUAAAUUUUUUGUAUAUAAUUUAACGGAGAAUUAAGGAAGACGCUGACGAAAAGAAAAAAAUUGAAACCAAUAAAGUACUAAGCUGAUAUACUUUAAAUUAUAUGGUACUAAAAUAAAAAAGCACGAAACUUAGGGAAUGGCAUUUGAAAGUUAUCCUUUUUUUUUAAAUUUUAAUUUUGUUAUCUAAAUUUUUAAUUUAUUUAGUUUAAAUGAGUCAACAGCACUUUAAUUUUAAAAUUUGAAAGAAAGUGCCGGCGACGGACUCAUAUCUAACAAAUUGCAAAAUUACAUAGUAAACAUAGACAUUUUGCAUGGAUGGAUGGUUGACUCAGAAAUAAUUCAUAAUUCGACCAAGUUUUAUACAUUUUUACCUCUAUAUUUUGUUUCAGUAGAGUUUUUAUUUGUUUAAAAGUACGAUAAUGUUAAUAAAAAUUGUUACGUGACGCGUUACAUCAAAUUUUACUUGAGAAAUCAAGCUAAGCUUGGGGAUUCAUGAAUUUUACACUAUUUGAUUUCAUGUGUGAAACAAUAUCUAUGUUUUCCACUACUUUGCUACUUUUACUAGGUAUUUUUGAAUACAUGAAUAUGAAUAUUUUAUAUAGUACUCUUUUUUUGUAUUACUUAUACAAAGACUAUAACAAUAGUAUAGGAUACGCAGUUUAAAAAGAUAAAUCAAACUUGCUAAGAUAAAUCAACUGGCUACUAAAAUACAAUACGUUAAAAACUAAGUGUCCAACUAUGAUACUUUUAAAAGCAUAAAGUAUUUAAUGCUUGUAAAUUUUUCUUCUUUAAAUUUAUUUUUUGAUUAUUUUUAUCAGUUAGAUUAUACUAUUUAACCAACCAUCCACUUAAUCCUAAAGAAUCACUAUCAUUCUAACAGCACAUAUCUUAAUGUAAGAGCCGAAAAUCUACUAGCAUUAAUAACUUAGUACUUUUAAAAACAUAUGAACUCAAUUCAAAAAACUAAUAUCUAACAAAUUUAUAAAUCAUAAAAUUAUAAUAGUUUAAAAACUAAUAUCUAGAAUGUAACGUGAAACACAAUUAAAUCAUCUAUUGUUAAUCACCCAAACAAAGUUGAUUCACACAUGCAUGAAAUAAGAAAAGAAACACAAUCGUGUUUUCAUAUAAGAGGCUUUUGAAGUUGCAAUAAAUCAUCGGAUAAAAGCUCUGCUCUGUUCUGUUUUUUUUUCCCCCUAUUUUCUGAUCCAAAAUGUUGAGAUCAAGUAGGGGAAUAAGAUGAAAUUAAGAAAGAUAAAAGAUAUAAGAAUCUGUUAGCAUGAAGGCCUCUGUACUGCCAAAUUAUUUUCAAUUAUGCAGCUUCCAACUCGACUAUUGAUUCCAUUAGACUUGAUCUAUACUAUUGUUAAGUAUUUGAAAACUAAAUUUCAUAAUUUUUCGACGUUAUUUACCUAUCAAAUGAUUAGUCUAAAAAUAAACGGCUGAAAAUAAAAAAAAAUCUUAUAAAAAAUAAUAAUAAAAGACUUAAAUUUAAAACAAGAGAAACUGAUUUGCGCUUGAGAGCGAAAAGAUUCAUACUUAAUCAGAGAAAUUGCACAAGAGCUUAGUCUAAUUAUGCAAUUAGUCGAAACGGAACUCUUAAUUAUCUGAAAAAAAAAGGAAAAAAGAAACAUAUUUUCAACUCUCCAAAGGAAUGAUAACACUAUUAUUGACAGCGAAAAGGAUUCAUACUGUAUCAAAUGAAUUGCGCAAAGAAACAAAGAAAACAAAAUGAGAAGAUAAACUUGUAAAAUGCUACGCAUCAGAUCUCUUAUGCAUUGCAGUAAAAUCCCAGAGAGCUUACCUGCUCAAAUUUGACUACACGUCGCUGAAUCGCCAUCUGCGCACAGCCUGCUGCAGAACUUCUGCUCUAGCCCGAUUCCGCAUUGCCUCCUCUUCUACCCAGCACCUGGUUUGCAUUAUUUUGAACAAAGGAAUUCAAUAUAGUAUAGUCACACCUCUCUACCUUGCUCGAAAGGUUUCCGGUAACCAUAUUGAUUUCGCGGACCAUUAGAGACAUGGUAUAUGAUUGCAAAAUCGAAAAAAAAGAGGACCGAGUUAAAUCACCUGAGAAUAUAGAGAGCCUCUUUCUCGGCUUCCAAUAUCGACUUGGCUUCAAUUAUCGCAUCCUGCUUGCUUCGCAUAUCAUCGUGUAACUUCUCCAAAUUUAGUUGCUCGGCCAUAACAUUAGCUCUCUCAGCAGAAAGCUUAUCGCACAACCCGUCAACUUCUUCCCUUAAGGCCGAAAGCAGCUGCUUCUGACAAUCCAAAGCAGCUCUCUCUUUCAGGUAAGAAGCCCUGCUUUCCUCUUGAGCUAAUUUCUCCUUCUCUAACUCAUCUAAAGCGGUCUGAAGAUCCUUCUCGGCCUCAAUUUCACGGUCUAUCUCCUUUUUUAGCUUCUCAUCCCAAUAACUCUGAAUUUCCCCUCUCUGAAUUAACUCUGCCCCGAUUUCCUCCAUUUCAGCUAGCCUUGAUGAAUUUUCUGCUUCGAGUCGUGACAGUUCAGCACGGAUUACUUCGGCCAUUCUGCCGCUGAUUAAUGCUACUGCUGCCUGUGCCUUUGUUACAGGUUUAUGGGGCUGAAGAAGCCUAAUGUUUCCUGUUGAAUAUGAAGAAAAUUACAAAAAAAAAAAAUUAAAAAAAAAGAAAGAAAUGUAAGACAGAUUUUGAUUACUUGUCAAAAAAAAAAAAUAUCAACGAAAAUUGAUCAAUAGUUAAAAUUCAGCACAGCCGCAAAAAAAUAUGGAAAUAUAUAUAUUCUUCUUAUUGGUCAUAGAGUAGGCCAUUUUUUCCAGCUAUAAGAUUAAGAAGAAGUACAUCGUAUACAUAGUACAGAACCAUACGAGAUCACAUGGACCAGUAAUCUGGUAUACAUGGAUUCAAAAUGGAAAGGAAAAAAAAAACAAUAAGAACCGCAUUACGAAUAACUGAUCCACAACUAUAUGCUAGUAAAUGGUCGUAUACUUCCAAUCUACAGUUUGAUCCAAUGCCUUGAGUUGAAAUGGACAGGCUUAUAUUCUAGGUGGUUAUUGUAAGAAAUGUUUACUAGAAAACAUGCUAUCAUCAUAAAUGCGUACUAAGAAUCUAGGUGUCACGGACACAAACACGGGACAUGAAAUAAGACACGAUUCAGACACAGCAACUCGAUAGAUUCUAAAAAAUUAGGAUACGGAUAUGACAUGGACACCACAAAUAAUAUUAUUAAUAUAGAAAUAUAUUUAAAAUAUAUAAAAUAUAUAUUUUACUAAAAUAUUGUUAUAUUUCUCAUACGAAGUUAAUAAAAUUCUCAUUAAUAGUUCAUAUAUUAUAAGGAAAAAAAUUCUCCACCAUAAAUAGUUUAUUUAUAUCCUCCAAAAAGAAUUUGGAUGCAUUCAUCAAAAAGCCAAAUAUUUAUCAUAUUACAUUAUAUUUGCAUUAAAAAAAAGUAAAAUAUGUUCUUUUUUUAAUUGGAUGUGCUAUGGAAGCGAGCAUUGGUGUCGGACAUGCCUGUGAUACAUAGACUAGAAAACAUCCUAGAAUUCAUAGAUGUAAAAUUGAGAAUUUCUUGAACAUUGGGGAGUCCAGAUUGAAAUUUGAAAAGUAAUACAACUUCAGCACAAAGAGUGAACUUAAAAGGGGACAUAUAAUUUAAAUCAACUUGCAAGCAACUUAAAAGAUAUAUUUCAGAAGCGAUGAAAUUUCAAAUAUACGAAUAGCCUUCCUCAAGAGAAUCAGGCCAAAAAUAUGCCUAACUGUUCAUUGAAAGAACCAAUUGGAGGGAUCCAAUAUAAGAAAGAAAUCAUAAAUUCAGAUUCGGUCAUAUAUUCUGAUUUCUUGGAAAAGAUGGGAGUUCGUCAAUAGAAUUUCAGACUUUGAUUUUCGAAUUUUAAGAAAUCAAAUGUAUGACAGAAUUCUUUAUUGGGGUAGUUUUGGCUGCCAGUCCAACGACUGAUUUCACCUGGCUGGAGCUUUGAAGAAACGUUGUUUGAAUAGAACUGUUUGAAAAAGUACUGACAGUUAACCUAGUAAGUUCCCCAACAGCUUCACACUGUAGAAACAGAACGCUAAUUUCAGCUUCCCGCCGCAGCACAACCUCUGGAGCAACUAUUUGCAAGCAGCUGACCAAACAAGCAUCGAACCAAAAAUGAAACAGAGGAUAAUUUGUAGGUCAUACCAAAAACUCUCCUGAGUAUGCUCCUUUCACCACCCAUAAAGUCCACCAGCAAUUGUGUUGGUACAUCAGAACAAGCACUCAAGUCCAAAAUGCCCACCUCUUCCCUUAAUAUCUGGACUGUAAUCAAGUCAGACUUUUGCAGCAGCAAGAAACCAAGCAGCAUCGUACCAAAAACAGGAGGAAAGAAAAAAAGCAAAUUUGAACAGUUGUUGUUUAAGUACAUUAAUACCUUUUCAUCCAUUCCAGGAGUGAACGAAUACUCUAGAAAGGUUUUCCACCUCAUCAGAUCAAGUCGAGAUAAAUAUCUACACGACAACAUAAGCAGCUAAUGAUAAAGACAAGCAAAAUUAAAAAGUGAGAAAUUACAUACAUAAACCAGAAAAUUUUUAGUUGGUAAUUACAUAUGUAUCCCAGUAAAAUCUGCAUUUUCCUACAUCCCCCUUCAAAAUUUUCUUAAAUAUAUAUUCUUUCACCGACAAAAAUACACCUCUUUAAAAAAAUUUCAAACACAAAAACCAACUUGCCACAUGAAUCGGAUUCCUUUUCAAAAAACUGCAGCAUAGAGGGAAAAGUCAGCUUUUGACAGCAUGUAAAUGUAAUAACAUAAUAUUGUAGGGGUAUAUAUACAUAUAUAUAUAUUUUUAGAUAAAAGCUCCAGUAAUGUAGGAUGAAUACACCCAUAACAAUAGAGAAACAGCCAGUGUCUAAAGAUAGAUACCUUUCUGGGAAAAAAUAGAAAUUUCCUAGACCACCAGAGUCACCAAUAUAUGAAGAACCGACAUAUGUGAUCUUGCUGUCAACGAUGCCAGAUUCUCCUAGUGCUUUUGAGCACAAAUUGAUCUUAUCAGAUUAUGAGAUUUCUAACAGAAACAACCGUACAGUUUGUCAAAUACACAUUGCGGACAACUUACACUGAAUAAACCAGAAAUCAGGAUCAUCAACAGGCACAUCAUCAAAAGCAGUUGCAGCCGCACUAGAAACCAAGAUGUUUGGAAUAAUUUUGUGCCUUCUUUUCCUGCCAAGAUCAUAUUAUAAACUAACAACAAUAUUAGUUUUCUAACACAAAAAUUUCAUAUAACCAAAACAAAAUUAUAUUUACAUCUAUGCCCCGCAAAAUUAUCUCCCUCUAUACACAAAUUUGAAUUUCCGUUUGCGCCUUAUAUAAUCCCCAUGUAACAAACAAGAUGCCUCUUUUUUAAUUCAAAAUUAACUCCCCAAGCAACGGAUGACUCGCCAACUUAAGAUAACAGUAUUUAUGAAAGAAUCUGCACUUUUAAAGGGUAUAAACGAAAUUCAAAUUUUAGAGGGCAUAUUUGAGAAUACAUAAUUUUCUAAGAAUCUGUACGUAAAAGACCCAACAAUAAAUUGCUAAAAGCUUGGUUGUAUUGGACAAUUACCUCUCUAACUUCGAGUUUACUUUGACUAACCAUCUUGCAAAUUCCCUCCUGGUACACAAUUCAUCGGCAUUGACAUCAUUUUCAAUGAUCUGAGUACCAUGAAAGUUAAUUCAAAAGUCCAUGCUCAGAACUGCAGUACAACAUUAUUUCUACCAAAUAAGAAAAUUAACUCAAACCUAACUAUGUUUAACAUCACAUGCUAAACAUUGCUUGUUGUUGAUAAUUAAUAAAUUUAAGUGCGAUUUUUCAAUCAUAUAACGUCAAACAGAACAUUAGAUUAGAACGUAAGCUUUUCUAAAGUGGAGCUCUUUAAUCAUUAGGCUUUCUAAAAGCAUUAUAAGCUAGUAAAGUGUGUCAGAGAGGAAGAUAUUUUGGAGAUGUGACAAAGAAAUGAAGACAAAGUAUUACAAACCAUACAAAUAGAAUAUCAAAGAAGGAUAAACAAGACAACCACUUGCGUAGUCUUUAUUAAAGAAAGGAUAAACAAGAUAGCCACUUGCGUAGUCUUUAUUUAGAUAGCCUUCCUUUCCUGCUGACAACUUAAUUUUCCCCCUUUCUUGCCAUUACGGACAGUUCAUUAGUUCACUAGAAAAACCCUAAAACCAUACUAAUCUUACGCUUAUGAAUUGUGAAGAUGAUAUUAAAUGAACCAUUAGAUAACUUACCCUAGACAGGUGCUAAAGAUCUUAGAGAGAAACACUAGAACCACAAAAUUUCUCAGGCCCAAUGAAAAUUAAUAUGCCAUUGACAUAAAAUAAUCAUGUGCAUGCAACUAUACAUUGUUUAAUUGAAACAAAAAUGUCAAAUAAUGUCACUAAAUGAGUGUGUUCUUAUUACAAACCUGUAGUUUCUUCAUAACAGAUAAAGCUUCCAACUGUGCAGAAUCAGGGGAAAAUGGAACAUAGACUCGUUUGCAACCUCCAAAUGCUAACGUGCAAACAUAUAAAACCCCACAAAUAAAAAAAGGUUAGUGGUGCACAAAAAUGCUGAUUAAAAUGGAAAGGCAAAGAGAUAUAUAAAAGAAUUGAGUUACAAUUGCAGCUCAAUUAUUUCAAACUGUCUUUGUUUGGGACCUUGGGCCGGCUUAUACAACAGCUCCUCUACUCUAAAAAGCAUGCUGCAAAGCAUUUAGAAAGUGGCUGAAGCUUUUAUUGUGGCUGGAAUCUACACUAAGCUUCAGGGGCCUGAAAACUUAGCACUACUUAGGGCAUAAACGCUUCUGCCUUUGCAGCAACCAGAAGCAGUUAAAAGAGAUCUUGUGAAACAGCUAUUAGUGUUUCUUCAACAGCCCAUUUGGCAGCCUGAAGAGCUGCAAGAGCUCUAGUACACUCCAUGUAGUGUUCAAACUAAAAUGCAAGCUAAAAACACAAAAGCAUUUGGGAAAUCUACAGUUUCAAAGAAAGAUAAAGAGCAUGCAACUGUUUAGAAAUAGAAAUUGAAAAUUAUCUUUAUAGGAAAAAAAAUUUUAGGUUUUAACUUACUGAACAAAAUAAUUGUACUUGACUUCAUUAAUCACAAAACUUGCUAGCCAACUUACUUAACUCUUAAUCAACUUACAUAAUCGAUAUAAUGAGUAUGAGGUGCACAAAGGCAUAACCACACUUGACCAAUCAUAGUUGAAUAUCAAAAGACAGAUCCUCAAUUAACUGAACGCGAGAAAAGCCUAAUACUCUCAAAAGACAUGGAAUCAGUGAAGAUCACAAUAUACAGUGACAAAUGUAAUAUCCUUUUUUCUUUCUUCAUUUGUUUACACAGUUUUCUUAACAAGUAUGUUAUUUUAAUUCUCAGAUACAAAAAUUUGGAUAACAAAAUCAAUGCAGUGAGACCCCAAAUACUGUGAUACCUUGCCUUGCCCAACACAUAAACUGAUUAGAGUUUUGUAAACAAAAGAAGCUAUAAGUCUAUAACUGUUCAGAAAUAUGUAAAAGUUCGCGCUCAAGUACCAGUGGGAAGAUUAUCAGCAUCAACCUUCACAUCUUGAUUUCCCUUGGAAUCUUGUUUAACUUCCACUUCAGUGUUUCUGAAAUCUUUAUCAGGAUCUCUUGAAGACUCCCCAGGUACAAACUUCUCAUAAAGUGUAUGAAAUGGAGCAGUCAGGCAAAGCUUUAAACCUGGAAAGUUUAUUGCCUGUCAGAUACGCUAUUCCUGUAGCAUGAAAGCAUAACAAAAUAACCCUCCAAGCUGGAUUAGCAAACUCCAUUUACUAAAACAACUACUUUUGCAAGUAAAUCUCAGUAGCAGUGGAACUAGUUCCCUGAAACAUUAUCUGCGAAAUAGAAACAAUAUGCCAACAAAUAAAUGUGACUUUGCCAAACAUUAUAAGAGGACACCAGUUUACAGUGAAGCCAAAGCAGAAAAGUAACCAUCUAUGACAUUUAAGGCAUGGCUAAGUGCUAAAAGUUGCAAAAGAGGCAUAAAAAUGUGCUUCAAUGAUAAAUUAGAGAAAUACAAUUGUUCUUAGUACACAUUCCAAAUAUAGUGACUUAAUGGCCGCUUCAAUAGUUUGAAUGAUCAAGAAAAGAUCAGGUCCUUAGCUACUUCGCAUGCGAUCAAAAUACUAGUAAUGAUGCAUGACGCAUUCAACAAUAAAGUAAAUAAGCUAAAUGCUCAACUAAAUAGAAAAGCAAUAAACUUCAUCAACUAAGUAGGAGUUACAGGUAAAUAAGCUAAAUGCUCAAGUAGGAAACAAAAUCAGUUCCUUCUCCAAGUCAAACCACAUUAUAACAACAGCAUCAAAUCCUAUAUGCUAACCAAAUGCUAAUGCAACCUCAAGAAUCAGGAAAAAAAGAGGAUAAAGUAGCGCAACUAGAACCUUUCGUUGACAUUGAGAAAUAUGUUAGGGCAGCUAACAACACCGCCAUUGGAGCCCCAAUCCCAACAAAAAUUGCUUUCCAUGAUCCUACAACUAAAAAUUAAAGAAUAACGAAGAUAAAGAUUAUUCUUUCUCAACUAAUUAACCAAAAAAUCUGAAGAAAAUUCCAAAAAUUCACCCUUUCUCUCUUGUAAUUCCGGAUUAAUAGUGAACCAACCGCCGAACCCAUCAUCGAUCAAGCUUGCAUCCGCAGGAACCGACCACGAUUCGAGCUUCGUACCCGCAAAACAAAUCCGAGGAGAGAAUCGUCUAUUUGAGGCAUUUGAGAACCCGUAAGGAGCCAAUUGAAGGGCGGAGAAGGCGAAAUCGGAGACGAAACCCUUCGUCGGAAGGCAUGGCGAGUGGAGGCGGAGGGAAGAACCCAUUCGUCGUGCGAAUUGGAAGGGAUUACAGCAACAUUUUGGGCGAAUUGGAUCUAUCUUUCUAGGGUUUAGCGGAGGUUUGGGGCCUGGUGAUUAGGGUUUGGGGGAGAGAGAGAGAGAGAGUGUGUGUGUGUGAGGGUGUUUCGUUGUUGUCGAUGCGUGGGGAGAGAGGUCGUGGCACGUGGGAAAGAGGGGAUGUGCUACACGUGUGAAGGCCCCACGGUGUAAUCGUGGUGUGGUGUCACGGACUCACGGUGUGGCACUGACAAGUCUGACAUGUGUGGCCCACCCAGAUGAUUUUUUUUUUUCUAAAUGCAAGAAAUAUCUGAAUAUAUAUUUUAGGAUUAAUUUAGUACAGUUUCCUACAAAUAUAAUAAUAAAUUGCAAAUAUAUUUAUACUGAAUUAUGUUGCAUCCUUUUGUAUAUUAUUACUGUUACUUCAUAAAUAGUAAUGAUCUUUAAGAUCAGAGGUUCAGUCCUUCUUAUUUUAAACUAAGAUUUUAAGCGUCGUCGACACAGACCGCGUCGAUGGCACAGCUCAAAACCCUUUAUUCUUUAAAAUAAUAAAUAAUUUUCUCAAUAAAAUUUAAAAGAUGUAAUAAAAAAUGGUAAUAAAUAGUUAGAAUAUUUUGUUGCUAAAGAAAAUAAAUAUUUCAUGCUAUUAUGUGACGGCACAAAAAAAUUUUUUUGACCGACACGCAUCGAUACGACUCGACACGCACCGUACCGACAAGUUUCUAGCACGACCCCAUACCAUGGCACUUAAAUUCUUGUUUUAAACUUCUCGGUCAGGGCCUGUGGACAAGAUCCGAAAGAAGGAAAGAAGAUAAAUAAAUAGAUAAAUCAUUCCCAGUCAGUUAAUAAUUCAUAUAUGAAUCAUGUAUAAGAUCAAGCAAUUUAAAUCCCAAAAAUUUCAGAUAAUAAUUACAUGUAGACAAGGUUGAUACUGUUAAAAUGCAUGAAAGGGACCAUAAUACUUUUGCUUCAAGAACUGCAGUUUCAGAAAGCAAAAAAAAUACUUAGCUUCUUGCACUGAGAGCUCUACAAUGAACAGUUGAUUACUUCUCUACUAAUCACAAAAAAUUCGGAUUCUUCGCCUUCAGACAGUAAUCUCUUCUCUCUCAACCAUCCUCUUUCUUUCCGCCUCCUUCCGACUUCUCUCACCGACGGCGUCAGAAAUCGCCUUUGGUAACAAAAAUCCGGGGCGUUCGAGGAACGGAGCUCUGUCGAGAACUAGCGGCUCUCUCUGCGUAACUUCGAUGCCGUCGAAGGUCCAUAGCUUCAAACGGGCGUCGCCCUUUAGGCCCAACGAAUACCAUCCGAGACCGGAAACUGCAAUAUCCGCACAGUUCGCUUCCCAGCUGUUCCCGGAAAGCUUUAUCUCUCUGUCUUUCCAUUCGCCGAGUUCGGCAACCCGCUCCUGGCCAAUAGGUGGCUGGAAAACAUACAACAAAGAUAUGAAUAGUACUUGAUCAUUAACAAAUGAACAUAAAAUGAUGAUAAACUCUGGCCAAAGAGGCAAUUUUGCAGGUAUAUAAGGGUAUAUAAAUGUUGGAAGCUCAGUUCAGGAGCAUCUUUUAUGUCAAUACAUCUCUAUUAGGAUAUAAUUUGCAUGGUAAAAGAGAGAACUUCGGAUCAAAUAAUCUUAAUUCAAAUAGCAGUGAGGGAAUAGAGAUCUCAUCUCACCUGUAAUCUGACGCCAAAAUGCUUAUUCCUUAAGUCGUCGGCAUUCUCCGUCUUCCCCAUAUGAAGAGAAGCAUAAGGAGACGCCCAAACCGUCACGUAAAUCGUUUCCACAGAGGCCUCGAUUAGGUCCAAUCUCAUUAAACCACCCACGUGGACCGUUUGCCCCACCUGCGACAGUGAAAAAGAUGUCUCUCUUGAGUUCAACUCUCAAGUAAAAUAGCACAUAAAUUUUUCUCUGUGCAUAUUUGUGUAAUAACUGGAUUCGUAUUACCAAAUGUUCGAAAUUGAAAUUUAUGCAUUUGUAAGCAUAGGGCUAAUUGCAAGUUUGCGGAGAAAUCUCUCUUUACAACCUUUGCCUACUUUUCCUCCACCCAAAAAAGAAAAAAAAGAAAGAAAAAUAAACGAUGGUUAGAAAAUUUAAAAGAAAUUCAAACCAAAAUAAUUUGUUUCAGUAGGUGCCAAUCAUCUCGAUUUCCGUUAAAAGAGGCCAAACAAUAACAACUAGGCCAGGGCAAUGUUAUUAGGAACUAUUUAGGACAAGCCAAUUUACUUAAUCACCCGUAGAAAACAUUAAGACAUACCAAAAGUUCACUUACACAUCAGAACUUCGACUAUUAAAACGAACAUCGGAAGUACGCUGGCACUCAAAAAAUAUCUUACAGUACUCAAUAUGCAGCCGGAAAAAGGAAGAAAUGGAAAUGCUAUAUGUACGAAACUCCGUUUGUACUUGCGGCACAAAUUAUAAUUCAAGGUACAAAAGAUUGCGUACAUUUGCAAAUUUAUGUAAAGCAGAUAUCAUCUAAGGAAAGCCAUCCUAUGGCUGAUGAAACAUGAGAGAAUACAAACAAACAAAAAGAGGAGAAGACUAACUUUUCCCAAAAAAUAUCGACUUUUUAGGUGGAGAGUGCAGGUUGUAUAUGCCCAUACGAGUUUUUGUGUGAAGGAUUUAAUCGUGCAUGGAAGAGAAGAAUAGGGCAACGACAGUGUAACACUAAAUGACUAAUUUUCUAUCUGAAGAGAGAAAUCUCGAUCAUCUUUCCCAAGGUCCAUCAUCACCUAGGGGCUAUUUCUUUUCCCACAAUUAAUUUUCAGGCUAAAAAUAACUUUCAAUUGAACUAAAGUUCCAGUAAAAGUUAUUUUUCUACCUUUGUUUGUUUGAUAAGAAUUUCCUUGCUUUGGUUCCACUUUCUUAGUUUGUUUUACAAAAAAAUUCCACACUAGCACAUAAAAGGGUGAAAAAACAAGUUGCAGGUGAAUUUCAAACCAAACAGCAGAAGUGGGCAUUUAUGGUCGAAUACAACUUCCCCUCCUCCACUUUUGGUGAAACAAACUGCCUGAUUCCAUCUCACAUUACUAUCGUAUAAUUGAAGUUCAAAUACUCGGUGACAUGUAUUGUUAUCAUAAGAAAUCAAUUUAGAGCUCUAGAACUAAGUAAUCUGCAAAAUAUAUCAAAUAUCUGCUAGGGAUGACACGAAAUUCUCAUCUUUAUGUUCACAAACAGCUAUACUAAUAAACUAGAAAACAUUUCAUCAAGUCACCAUUAAAGAAGAACAACCAGAAACAAAUUCAUAUCAUUCCAAUUUAGUAUUUCAUAUAGAGAUAAAAACGACUCACCUUUACUCUAAAAGUCCGAGGCUGUAAUUCCUUCCUGAUCUCCACCAUCUUCUGCUCCUCUCGACUUAAUCUCAUCGUCAUAAUAUACGGAUGCAAAAGACCUGGCGUAUCAUACAUCUUCGCUUUCGCAGGUAAAACCCCUGUAACCCUCAAAAUACCCAAUGUAGUCCCCGGCACUGCAGCCUCAGUCAAUCUCGUAAUCUUAACGCCUUCUCUCUUCGCAAACGCAUUAAUCAGAGUAGAUUUUCCAGCAUUUUGUGCGCCAACUACCCACACAUUUCCGCGAGGACCUGCCAAUUCCUUUAUAUAAGAAAUCAAAUUCCUAACUCCGAGAUCUUUGCGGGCACUCACCAAAUAAACUGCAUUAAGCUUAGGGGCUCCGUUCGCCUUGGCGCGGUUACGAACCCAUCGAUCCAAUCUUGUUGGAGAGAUCUGUGAGGGUAGAAGAUCAACCUUAGUUGCCACAAGAACAAGUUUCGGCAGUUUAGUUGUCUUAGUGUUCUUGUUGCUUCCCUCCAAUGCCUUAAACAAAGAUUUUGCCGCUCUCUUAGGGAAUGAUCCAUCGAAAUCCACACAAUCAACAACUAAAACUACAACAGGAGAACUAUUCGAAGGUUUCAUCAAUCGGGUCGAUAUGGACCGAUCGAAAUCGAAGUCGGGGAUCAAAUUCUCGGCCUUUUGGUUCUUCACCUGCCCAUAAUUCCUCAGCGAGUGGCACCGCGCACACACUACCGCCGAAUUCUCCAUUUCCAUCCUUUUAGCUUCUUCUUCUCUCAUCUUUCUCUUCUUCUCCGAUUUCGACAUCUUCUCCUUCUUCAUCUUGCUCAGUGUCUCCUCAGUAACAUUUCCAUACCCGACUCCCGCGGGGGCGAAACCAUCCAAUUCCCUCUUCAACCUCUCCUCCUCAUCCUCCUCAUCCAGCCAAUCCGAAUCCCAAUCAUCUUCCUCCUCCAAAUCCUCCACCAAACCCUCACCAAGAUCAAAUUUUGACGACGACCCAUCAACACCCUCAUCCAAUUCAUCCAAAAUCUCUUCGGAAUCGGAGAAAAGGGGGUCCUCGGAACCGUACCCGGUGUCUUCGUCCGGAGAUGGCGACGAGGGUUUCUGGUAGUAUCCGGGGAGGUUGGGGUCGGAUUCUUGCAUGAACACGCCGCAUCCGGGGCAAACGAGGCGCGCCUCGUCCUCGUCCCUCCCUUCGCUGAACAAUCGGGAGGUGCGGAGCGAAGCAUGGAGGAUCGGGGCCGGGGUUCGUGUGGAGGAGAGGGAGAAGGAGAGUAAGCGUUUGUGGAGAAGAAGAGAGAAGGGGAGGAGGAGGGAGGAGGAGAAGAAGGGGGAGAGGAGGGAACGAGGGAUUAGGGUUUUACGGCCAUGAGAGAGGAGGAGGGAGGA